RNAcentral lists this ribosomal RNA (433 nucleotides) under uncultured bacterium. RNAcentral's name for it is "partial 16S ribosomal RNA". It matches the Rfam family "Bacterial small subunit ribosomal RNA", at positions 29 to 507 of the family's 1533-position model. The record is from RNAcentral.
AACGAACGCUGGCGGCAUGCCUAACACAUGCAAGUCGAACGAGACCUUCGGGUCUAGUGGCGCCCGGGUGCGUAACGCGUGGGAACCUGCCCUUAGGUUCGGAAUACCUCCCCGAAAGGGGUGCUAAUACCGGAUAAUGUCUUCGGACCAAAGAUUUAUCGCCUUUGGAUGGGCCCGCGUUGGAUUAGCUAGUUGGUAGGGUAAAAGCCUACCAAGGCGACGAUCCAUAGCUGGUCUGAGAGGAUGAUCAGCCACACUGGGACUGAGACACGGCCCAGACUCCUACGGGAGGCAGCAGUGGGGAAUAUUGGACAAUGGGCGAAAGCCUGAUCCAGCAAUGCCGCGUGAGUGAUGAAGGCCUUAGGGUUGUAAAGCUCUUUUACCCGGGAUGAUAAUGACAGUACCGGGAGAAUAAGCUCCGGCUAACUCCGUG